RNAcentral lists this ribosomal RNA (368 nucleotides) under uncultured organism. Its description in RNAcentral is "bacterial SSU rRNA". It matches the Rfam family "Bacterial small subunit ribosomal RNA", at positions 526 to 896 of the family's 1533-position model. The record is from RNAcentral.
CGGAGGAUCCAAGCGUUAUCCGGAUUCAUUGGGUUUAAAGGGUGCGUAGGCGGAAUGAUAAGUCAGUGGUGAAAUCUCGGAGCUUAACUCCGAAACUGCCAUUGAUACUGUCAAUCUUGAGUACAUUUGAUGAGGGCGGAAUGUGUCAUGUAGCGGUGAAAUGCUUAGAUAUGACACAGAACACCGAUUGCGAAGGCAGCUCUCAAAACUGUAACUGACGCUGAGGCACGAAAGCGUGGGUAUCAAACAGGAUUAGAUACCCUGGUAGUCCACGCUGUAAACUAUGAUUACUCGAUGUUUGCGAUAUACUGUAAGUGUCUAAGCGAAAGCGAUAAGUAACCCACCUGGGGAGUACGCUCGCAAGGGUG